Molecule: RNA transcript, 963 nt
Organism: Spinacia oleracea (spinach)
Lineage: Eukaryota; Viridiplantae; Streptophyta; Magnoliopsida; Caryophyllales; Amaranthaceae
Gene name: bet1-like SNARE 1-2
Exons: 7
Source: RefSeq, a predicted model, not a curated record
AUGUGAAGUUCCGAAUAAGAUCCAGGCCGCAACCCAAAACGGGCUAGCUGCGUAACAAUCUGCUGAGCUCGGCGACACAAACUUCCAUUAAUGGAGGUCAACCGUCGAACUUCGUGAUUCAUCAAUUCGUCAAUUCCCUUCAAGGAAAUAGCUGAAGAAGACGCGUAAUCAUGAGUUACAGAAGGGAGACUCGUGCUUCUAAAAUUGGCCUUUUUGAUGGAUACAAUAGCCUUGAAGAGGGUGGUUUAAGGGCAUCCACAUCAUACUCAAGUGAUAUUAGUGAACAUGAAAAUGACAAAGCUCUUGAUACCCUCAAAGAUCGGGUCUUCUUUCUCAAGCAGUUGUCUGGUGAUAUACAAGAUGAGGUUCUUAACCAUAACCGUGUCCUGGAUCGGAUGGGGAAUGAAAUGGAUGCAUCAAGAGGUAUCUUGUCAGGAACACGUGACCGCUUCAAAAUGGUGUUUGAAAGGAAGUCAGGACGUGCAAUGUGCAAACUAGUUGGUUUCCUUGUGGCAUUCUUUUUAUUGUUAUACUACAUCAUCAGUUAAUUUAUUGCAGAACCUUACUGUAUCAAAGUGAGGAAACUGCUAAAUGGUUGGCUAUAGAAGCAGAAGAAGGGUCCUUAGACAUUCCAUGUGAGUAUGAAGUGGAGACAUUGUAAGCCUGUAAGUAUCUGAGAUGCAUGAGUGAGAUUUUGCAUGAUAUGACAGACUACAACAGGAGCUGCUGGAUGCAUGCUUGCAUAAAUGAGACAAUUGGGGUUGCUGUAUCGCCUGUAAGGCUCUACUCAGAUGAAAAGUAUGAAGUGAACAUGCGCCAUUUUAUUUAGCAUAGGCUUUUGACAAUUCAUUCAAGCAUAUACAAAUUUUUUACGGAGUACUUUUUUGCAAAUAGGAAAAUGACACUUUGUAAGUUUGUAUCGUGGAUUUAUUAUCAAUCAUAGUCGAAGUGAUGAAUUGAUGA